This 253-nucleotide ribosomal RNA is filed under the name uncultured bacterium. Its description in RNAcentral is "partial 16S ribosomal RNA". It matches the Rfam family "Bacterial small subunit ribosomal RNA", at positions 524 to 776 of the family's 1533-position model. The record is from RNAcentral.
UACGUAGGCAGCAAGCGUUGUUCGGAUUUACUGGGCGUAAAGGGUGCGUAGGCGGUUGUUUAAGUUUGGUGUGAAAUCUCCCGGCUCAACUGGGAGGGUGCGCCGAAUACUGAAUGACUAGAGUGCGGGAGAGGAGAGUGGAAUUCCUGGUGUAGCGGUGAAAUGCGUAGAUAUCAGGAGGAACACCGGUGGUGUAGACGGCUCUCUGGACCGUAACUGACGCUGAGGCACGAAAGCGUGGGUAGCAAACAGG